RNAcentral lists this ribosomal RNA (497 nucleotides) under uncultured bacterium. RNAcentral's name for it is "partial 16S ribosomal RNA". It matches the Rfam family "Bacterial small subunit ribosomal RNA", at positions 28 to 507 of the family's 1533-position model. The record is from RNAcentral.
GAUGAACGCUGGCGGCGUGCCUAAUACAUGCAAGUCGAGCGAACAGACGAGGAGCUUACUCCUCUGACGUUAGCGGCGGACGGGUGAGUAACACGUGGAUAACCUACCUAUAAGACUGGGAUAACUUCGGGAAACCGGAGCUAAUUCCGGAUAAUAUAUUGAACCGCAUGGUUCAAUAGUGAAAGACGGUUUUGCUGUCACUUAUAGAUGGAUCCGCGCCGCAUUAGCUAGUUGGUAAGGUAACGGCUUACCAAGGCAACGAUGCGUAGCCGACCUGAGAGGGUGAUCGGCCACACUGGAACUGAGACACGGUCCAGACUCCUACGGGAGGCAGCAGUAGGGAAUCUUCCGCAAUGGGCGAAAGCUUGACGGAGCAACGCCGCGUGAGUGAUGAAGGUCUUCGGAUCGUAAAACUCUGUUAUUAGGGAAGAACAAAUGUGUAAGUAACUAUGCACGUCUUGACGGUACCUAAUCAGAAAGCCACGGCUAACUACGUG